Molecule: ribosomal RNA, 495 nt
Filed under: uncultured bacterium
Lineage: Bacteria
Description: bacterial SSU rRNA
Rfam family: Bacterial small subunit ribosomal RNA
Source: RNAcentral
AUUGAACGCUGGCGGAAUGCUUUACACAUGCAAGUCGAACGGUAGAGGGGGCAACCCCUUGAGAGUGGCGAACGGGUGAGUAAUAUAUCGGAACGUGCCCAGUCGUGGGGAUAACGUAGCGAAAGUUACGCUAAUACCGCAUACGAUCUAAGGAUGAAAGCGGGGGAUCGCAAGAUCUCGCGCGAUUGGAGCGGCCGAUAUCAGAUUAGGUAGUUGGUGAGGUAAAGGCUCACCAAGCCAACGAUCUGUAGCUGGUCUGAGAGGACGACCAGCCACACUGGAACUGAGACACGGUCCAGACUCCUACGGGAGGCAGCAGUGGGGAAUUUUGGACAAUGGACGCAAGUCUGAUCCAGCCAUUCCGCGUGCAGGAUGAAGGCCCUCGGGUUGUAAACUGCUUUUGUACGGAACGAAAGGUUGUCUUAAUACGAUGAGCUCAUGACGGUACCGUAAGAAUAAGCACCGGCUAACUACGUGCCAGCAGCCGCGGUAAAG